AGAGUUUGAUCAUGGCUCAGAUUGAACGCUGGCGGCGUGCCUAACACAUGCAAGUCGAGCGGUAACAGGUGUAGCAAUACAUGCUGACGAGCGGCGAACGGGUAAGUAAUGCUUUGGAAUCUUCCCAGUAGUGGGGAAUAACCAGUCGAAAGAUUGGCUAAUACCGCAUACGUCUGUAAAGGGAAAGCGGGGGCUCGUAAGACCUCGCGCUAUUGGAUGAGCCAAAAGUCGGAUCAGCUAGUUGGUGGGGUAAUGGCCUACCAAGGCGACAAUCCGUAGCUGGUCUGAGAGGACGACCAGCCACACCGGAACUGAGACACGGUCCGGACUCCUACGGGAGGCAGCAGCGGGGAAUAUUGGACAAUGGGGGAAACCCUGAUCCAGCGACGCCGCGUGUGUGAAGAAGGCCUGCGGGUUGUAAAGCACUUUUAGUGGGGACAAAAAGCUACGGAUUAAUACUCUGUGGUCUUGAUUUAACCCAAAGAAAAAGCACCGGCUAACUCUGUGCCAGCAGCCGCGGUAAUACAGAGGGUGCGAGCGUUAAUCGGAAUUACUGGGCGUAAAGCGCGCGUAGACGGUUUUGUAAGUCAGAUGUGAAAUCCCUGGGCUCAACCUGGGAACUGCAUUUGAGACUGCAUGGCUAGAGUAUCGAAGAGGGAAGUGGAAUUUCCGGUGUAGCGGUGAAAUGCGUAGAUAUCGGAAGGAACACCAGUGGCGAAAGCGACUUCCUGGUCGAAUACUGACGUUCAUGUGCGAAAGCGUGGGGAGCAAACAGGAUUAGAUACCCUAGUAGUCC
This 796-nucleotide ribosomal RNA is filed under the name uncultured bacterium. RNAcentral describes it as "bacterial SSU rRNA". It matches the Rfam family "Bacterial small subunit ribosomal RNA", at positions 8 to 796 of the family's 1533-position model. The record is from RNAcentral.